This 401-nucleotide ribosomal RNA is filed under the name uncultured bacterium. Its description in RNAcentral is "bacterial SSU rRNA". It matches the Rfam family "Bacterial small subunit ribosomal RNA", at positions 112 to 507 of the family's 1533-position model. The record is from RNAcentral.
AAUGCAUCGGAACGUGCCAUUGAGUGGGGGGGUAACGUAGCGAAAGUUACGCUAAUACCGCAUAUUCUGUGAGCAGGAAAGCAGGGGAUCGCAAGACCUUGCGCUCUUUGAGCGGCCGAUGUCAGAUUAGCUAGUUGGUGAGGUAACGGCUUACCAAGGCGACGAUCUGUAGCGGGGUCUGAGAGGAUGAUCCGCCACACUGGAACUGAGACACGGUCCAGACUCCUACGGGAGGCAGCAGUGGGGAAUUUUGGACAAUGGGGGCAACCCUGAUCCAGCCAUGCCGCGUGAGUGAAGAAGGCCUUCGGGUUGUAAAGCUCUUUCGGCCGGGAAGAAAUCGCAUGGGUUAAUACCCUGUGUGGAUGACGGUACCGGCAUAAGAAGCACCGGCUAACUACGUG